UCAGUUUGUCAAGGACCAUUUGGAUGAUCCAGAGAAGUCAUGGGAGAAAGUCAUGUGGUCAGAUGAGACCAAGAUAGAACUUUGAUGAGUACCAUCCCAAGAACACCUUCCCUACUGUGAAGCUUUGUGGUGCAGUUAGCCUCUAGAGGCUAGCUCCAGCCAGCUAUGGCCUCUCCCCGCUCUGACUCCCAUGGCUUGCUUCUCCAAUGUGCCACUGUCCUACUCCUGGGCAGUCGUAGUCUCGAACCCGCCUUCUCUGCUCUGCAGGGAUUAAAGUGUUCAGGCCCCGGCUUGUAGCGAUUCCUCGUGGGUA
Molecule: long non-coding RNA, 313 nt
Organism: Cyprinodon tularosa
Lineage: Eukaryota; Metazoa; Chordata; Actinopteri; Cyprinodontiformes; Cyprinodontidae
Exons: 2
Source: RefSeq, a predicted model, not a curated record